Molecule: long non-coding RNA, 2919 nt
Organism: Papio anubis (olive baboon)
Lineage: Eukaryota; Metazoa; Chordata; Mammalia; Primates; Cercopithecidae
Source: Ensembl
AGAUAAAAAGACUUUGCUCUUCUCAACUCCUUUUGACAGCACAGGGGAACACGUGACAUGAUAUUUACUCCACAUCUGAUAGCCUGUCACUUUACAAAACAAUAUUUGAGGCUGAGUACAGUGGCUCAUACCUGUAAUCCCAACACUUUGGAAGUCCAAGGAGCCAUGAUGGAGAUUAACCAUGUCAUGCUGACUUCUAAAAGAUCAGGUUUAUCCUGGACCCCAUUACCUGCUUCUGCUUAAGCUUUUGUUGAGGAAAUUUUUCUGCAGCUGAAAUGAAGUUUGAAGGCUUGAAGAACAGUGAUUUCCAUGUGACCUAGUGUAGCUUGGAAGAAUGAAGUUCUGAUUUGUAAGUAGAAUCAUUUCCUAUUGUGGUAGACUAGUAAACUUGGAAUAACAACAAGUAUAUGUUAAAUAAAUAUAAUUAAACAAUAGUAAACAUUAAAUUUAGAGACUAUUUUUAAUGCUCCAUUUGUAUGAACUCACUUAAUCCUCACAAUAGCUAUGAGGUUAUUUCAUUCAUGAGGAAACUACAGCACAGAGAGGUUGGUAACUUGCCUGAAUUCACAGAGUUAAUAAGGAUUGGUACCAGGACUGACGUUCAGGUCAUCUUGUUCCUAAGCCUGUUCCCUAAUCACAGCCAAUGAUGCAAUGAAUAUUCUUUUUUUUUUUUUUAGCUCACUGCAAGCUCCGCCUCCUGGGUUCACGCCAUUCUCUUGCCUCAGCCUCCCGAGUAGCUGGGACUACAGGUGCCCACCAGCACGCCCUGCUAAUUUUUUGAAGUUUUAGUAGAGACAGGGUUUCACCGUGUUAGCCAGGAUGGUCUCGAUCUCCUGAUGUCGUGAUCCGCCCGCCUUGGCCCCCCAAAGUGCUGGGCUUACAGGCAUGAGCCGCCGCGCCUGGCAACAAUGAAUAUUCUUAUGUACGUUUUCUUACAUUCACAUGUACAAGGUUUUCCCAAGUGUGACAUUCUUGGCUGUAGGUUAUACACGUCUUCAGCUUUACUAUAUAUUGACAAUUGAUUCUCUUUCUCCAUGUCCUAACACUUUUAAGCAACUUUUAAUAUUGGUCAGUCUGAUGAGUGUGAAGAGUUAGAUCAUUGUGUUUUAAAUAUUCAUUUCAUUUAUAACUAGAGAGUUUGAAAUGUUUGCACUGGGUUUGGUCCAUAGGUUUGUAAGUUUUUUUUAUUCUGAAUACUAAAUCAUAUUUUCUGUAUAAAUAUCCCUGGACACUUUGUUCUGUUUCUCUGCUCUGUUUCCCUAGCCAUGCCGUAAUACACAUUGUCAUAGUUACAUGAGUUUUUCCUCUUUUACCUCCUCUUCCUCCUCCUCCUCGUCCUUCUAAAACAUUGUGUAUCUGAUAGGAUGAAUCCCUUACCCUUUUUACCUUCAAAACAGAAUUGAUCAUUUGUAGCCUUUUAGCUCUUUCAUAUAAACAUAAAGAUAAGGUUGUCAAGCUCUAGGAAAAAAUUCUGUUGCAUUGAAUAUGUGAAUUAAUUUAGGAAAUUAGUUAUGCUGAUUCUAUCUAGCCUGCUCUUUCUGAAAAUGGUGGUAGUAAAAUUAGUUGCUGAAGCUUUAAUGGUUAAUGAAUCUUACUGGUUUUUCUGUGACUGGUUGCUAAAAUGGAUUAACAGUUUCUAAAGUACUUAUGAGCAUGACCUCUAUCAUAUGUCAAGUGCUAUGGCUAAAGUCUUACAAAAUUUAUUGUUGUUGGUGUUGUUUUAAUAAAUAUUGAGAUAUUUCUAGAUUGUGUUUUUUAUUGAUGUGAUUGUUGCUAUUUCACUGAAGUAAUAUAGAUGUUAGAGAUAUAUGGAGUCACAUUUGUACACUGAUAACCACCAUUUGUUAGCCAAGCCUGAGUGUUUGGGAUUCUUUAAUGACUUAUUUGGCUCUAAUUCAUAAAGCUUAGGGUGAUUGUGAGUCCAGGCCCUGCUGAGCUGGGGCCAAGUGUUGCAAUGAAUGUUCCAAGCACUUGAUGGUGUUGAAUGAUUCCAACUUAGAGACUGGAAUGGAAUUUUAGUAUAUCUAUUUUAAAUUUCUUCAUGUUUAAUAUACAAUCUAAAAUUGUGACAGUUCAGUCAGAUAGUCUCAGAUAAACAAGUUUAAAUAACCAAACAAAAAUCUCUGGAGGAGUUUAUAUAUCUUGGCUCUGCUGCCUUCAAAAUCCUUGUGAAUAAGAAACCAAAUUCUGAGGUUGAUACUUUUUCUUUAGAGUUAUGAACAUCCCGUUGUCGGAAAAACAGAGGUUACCACAUAUAUUUCAAUUGUUAAUAUUAUACAUAUCACCACUUUUUCUUUAGUUAAUCUUGGACCACGCUUUCUGAAACAGCCUCUCCCACAUGCCAAGUAUUGUAUUUGACCUUUUCACGUCAAUUAUCUACUUUGUUCUUCACAGCAAUCUUGUAGACUAUGUAUCGAUUCCAAAUUUACAGAUGGACAAAUAUGGUUGAGAGGGGUUUCCUAAAGUAUUAUAGCUAGAAACAGCAAAGUUGGGUUUCAAACAUGGUGCUAUCAAAUUCAGGUCUGUAUUAUUUUCUAUCACCCCAUUCGUUCUCCCAGUGCCUGGCAAUUGAAUAAGAAAAAAUAAAAAUGAUAAAUCUAUACUUUAUUUUUGAAUAGGUGCUAACUCCUAAAAUUCAAAAGAGUUCUUUCUUUAAUUCCAGCAGUGAUGGCCCAACUUGAUACUGACUAUUCUGCUGAUUUUGUUAAUUUACUCAGAAGCCUAAAUUAUCUGCUAAUAAAAGAUAUUGCACAACUGGACAUUCCUAAUGUUAGUUACAUCUGGAGGUGAUCUCACUAAACAUUACAGAUUUGGCUGUGUGUCUUGGGGGCUUUCUGAAAUCCUAACUUUUUGCAUCCUUGCCCUACAGGCACAGUUCAUAUGCUCUAAGUACAUAGCCAGAUUAGCCAUAGCCAUGAC